This 530-nucleotide long non-coding RNA is filed under the name Nicotiana benthamiana. RNAcentral's name for it is "long non-coding RNA (NBEN_LNC040373)". The record is from RNAcentral. Lineage: Eukaryota; Viridiplantae; Streptophyta; Magnoliopsida; Solanales; Solanaceae.
GAAAAAUCAAGUUACGAAUACGUAGCUACUGAUGAUUCCAACUUUAACAAUGGAGUUCAAUUGUGGUCUCAACAAUCUUGUGGAUUUGGGUUCGAGACGAAAAUGAUGAAAAAGGGUGUAUUGAGAAGUUCAAGAAGUUCAUCUUCUUCAUCUAUAUCUUCAGCAUCUUCAACUUGUAGCUCUGUAAUGGAAUGGGCUAGUACUGAAGAAAAUGAAUUGAAAGGUCCUUCUGGAUUUUCUUUGUUAGUUUAUGCUUGGAAAAACUGAGGAUUGGUAUUCUACUAACUUUUAUAUUUUUCUUUGAAGUCGGGUUCGAGACGAAGAUGAUGAAAAAGGGUGUAUUAAGAAGCUCGAGAAGUUCAUCUUCUUCAUCUUUAUCUUCAGCAUCUUCAACUUGUAGCUCUGUAAUGGAAUGGGCUAGCACUGAAGAAAAUGAAUUGAAAGGUCCUUCUGGAUUUUCUUUGUUGGUUUAUGCUUGGAAAAACUGAGGAUUGGUAUUCUACUAACUUUUAUAUUUUUCUUUGAAGUUA